RNAcentral lists this transfer RNA (76 nucleotides) under Syntrophorhabdus sp. PtaU1.Bin002. RNAcentral's name for it is "tRNA-Val". It matches the Rfam family "tRNA". From Rfam's summary of the family: Transfer RNA (tRNA) molecules are approximately 80 nucleotides in length. The record is from RNAcentral. Lineage: Bacteria; Pseudomonadati; Thermodesulfobacteriota; Syntrophorhabdia; Syntrophorhabdales; Syntrophorhabdaceae.
AGGCGCGUAGCUCAGCUGGGAGAGCGCUACCUCGACGCGGUAGAGGUCGCCGGUUCGAAACCGACCGCGCCUACCA